This 2930-nucleotide ribosomal RNA is filed under the name Escherichia coli. RNAcentral's name for it is "23S ribosomal RNA". It matches the Rfam family "Bacterial large subunit ribosomal RNA". RNAcentral also lists the same sequence under 1 other name. The record is from RNAcentral. Lineage: Bacteria; Pseudomonadati; Pseudomonadota; Gammaproteobacteria; Enterobacterales; Enterobacteriaceae.
GGGUUGUGAGGUUAAGCGACUAAGCGUACACGGUGGAUGCCCUGGCAGUCAGAGGCGAUGAAGGACGUGCUAAUCUGCGAUAAGCGUCGGUAAGGUGAUAUGAACCGUUAUAACCGGCGAUUUCCGAAUGGGGAAACCCAGUGUGAUUCGUCACACUAUCAUUAACUGAAUCCAUAGGUUAAUGAGGCGAACCGGGGGAACUGAAACAUCUAAGUACCCCGAGGAAAAGAAAUCAACCGAGAUUCCCCCAGUAGCGGCGAGCGAACGGGGAGCAGCCCAGAGCCUGAAUCAGUGUGUGUGUUAGUGGAAGCGUCUGGAAAGGCGUGCGAUACAGGGUGACAGCCCCGUACACAAAAAUGCACAUACUGUGAGCUCGAUGAGUAGGGCGGGACACGUGGUAUCCUGUCUGAAUAUGGGGGGACCAUCCUCCAAGGCUAAAUACUCCUGACUGACCGAUAGUGAACCAGUACCGUGAGGGAAAGGCGAAAAGAACCCCGGCGAGGGGAGUGAAAAAGAACCUGAAACCGUGUACGUACAAGCAGUGGGAGCACGCUUAGGCGUGUGACUGCGUACCUUUUGUAUAAUGGGUCAGCGACUUAUAUUCUGUAGCAAGGUUAACCGAAUAGGGGAGCCGAAGGGAAACCGAGUCUUAACUGGGCGUUAAGUUGCAGGGUAUAGACCCGAAACCCGGUGAUCUAGCCAUGGGCAGGUUGAAGGUUGGGUAACACUAACUGGAGGACCGAACCGACUAAUGUUGAAAAAUUAGCGGAUGACUUGUGGCUGGGGGUGAAAGGCCAAUCAAACCGGGAGAUAGCUGGUUCUCCCCGAAAGCUAUUUAGGUAGCGCCUCGUGAAUUCAUCUCCGGGGGUAGAGCACUGUUUCGGCAAGGGGGUCAUCCCGACUUACCAACCCGAUGCAAACUGCGAAUACCGGAGAAUGUUAUCACGGGAGACACACGGCGGGUGCUAACGUCCGUCGUGAAGAGGGAAACAACCCAGACCGCCAGCUAAGGUCCCAAAGUCAUGGUUAAGUGGGAAACGAUGUGGGAAGGCCCAGACAGCCAGGAUGUUGGCUUAGAAGCAGCCAUCAUUUAAAGAAAGCGUAAUAGCUCACUGGUCGAGUCGGCCUGCGCGGAAGAUGUAACGGGGCUAAACCAUGCACCGAAGCUGCGGCAGCGACACUAUGUGUUGUUGGGUAGGGGAGCGUUCUGUAAGCCUGUGAAGGUGUACUGUGAGGUAUGCUGGAGGUAUCAGAAGUGCGAAUGCUGACAUAAGUAACGAUAAAGCGGGUGAAAAGCCCGCUCGCCGGAAGACCAAGGGUUCCUGUCCAACGUUAAUCGGGGCAGGGUGAGUCGACCCCUAAGGCGAGGCCGAAAGGCGUAGUCGAUGGGAAACAGGUUAAUAUUCCUGUACUUGGUGUUACUGCGAAGGGGGGACGGAGAAGGCUAUGUUGGCCGGGCGACGGUUGUCCCGGUUUAAGCGUGUAGGCUGGUUUUCCAGGCAAAUCCGGAAAAUCAAGGCUGAGGCGUGAUGACGAGGCACUACGGUGCUGAAGCAACAAAUGCCCUGCUUCCAGGAAAAGCCUCUAAGCAUCAGGUAACAUCAAAUCGUACCCCAAACCGACACAGGUGGUCAGGUAGAGAAUACCAAGGCGCUUGAGAGAACUCGGGUGAAGGAACUAGGCAAAAUGGUGCCGUAACUUCGGGAGAAGGCACGCUGAUAUGUAGGUGAAGUCCCUCGCGGAUGGAGCUGAAAUCAGUCGAAGAUACCAGCUGGCUGCAACUGUUUAUUAAAAACACAGCACUGUGCAAACACGAAAGUGGACGUAUACGGUGUGACGCCUGCCCGGUGCCGGAAGGUUAAUUGAUGGGGUUAGCGCAAGCGAAGCUCUUGAUCGAAGCCCCGGUAAACGGCGGCCGUAACUAUAACGGUCCUAAGGUAGCGAAAUUCCUUGUCGGGUAAGUUCCGACCUGCACGAAUGGCGUAAUGAUGGCCAGGCUGUCUCCACCCGAGACUCAGUGAAAUUGAACUCGCUGUGAAGAUGCAGUGUACCCGCGGCAAGACGGAAAGACCCCGUGAACCUUUACUAUAGCUUGACACUGAACAUUGAGCCUUGAUGUGUAGGAUAGGUGGGAGGCUUUGAAGUGUGGACGCCAGUCUGCAUGGAGCCGACCUUGAAAUACCACCCUUUAAUGUUUGAUGUUCUAACGUUGACCCGUAAUCCGGGUUGCGGACAGUGUCUGGUGGGUAGUUUGACUGGGGCGGUCUCCUCCUAAAGAGUAACGGAGGAGCACGAAGGUUGGCUAAUCCUGGUCGGACAUCAGGAGGUUAGUGCAAUGGCAUAAGCCAGCUUGACUGCGAGCGUGACGGCGCGAGCAGGUGCGAAAGCAGGUCAUAGUGAUCCGGUGGUUCUGAAUGGAAGGGCCAUCGCUCAACGGAUAAAAGGUACUCCGGGGAUAACAGGCUGAUACCGCCCAAGAGUUCAUAUCGACGGCGGUGUUUGGCACCUCGAUGUCGGCUCAUCACAUCCUGGGGCUGAAGUAGGUCCCAAGGGUAUGGCUGUUCGCCAUUUAAAGUGGUACGCGAGCUGGGUUUAGAACGUCGUGAGACAGUUCGGUCCCUAUCUGCCGUGGGCGCUGGAGAACUGAGGGGGGCUGCUCCUAGUACGAGAGGACCGGAGUGGACGCAUCACUGGUGUUCGGGUUGUCAUGCCAAUGGCACUGCCCGGUAGCUAAAUGCGGAAGAGAUAAGUGCUGAAAGCAUCUAAGCACGAAACUUGCCCCGAGAUGAGUUCUCCCUGACUCCUUGAGAGUCCUGAAGGAACGUUGAAGACGACGACGUUGAUAGGCCGGGUGUGUAAGCGCAGCGAUGCGUUGAGCUAACCGGUACUAAUGAACCGUGAGGCUUAACCUUACAACGCCGAAGGUGUUU